Ixodes scapularis (black-legged tick) is the source of this 1375-nucleotide long non-coding RNA. RefSeq lists it as uncharacterized. NCBI's taxonomy places the organism in Eukaryota, Metazoa, Arthropoda, Arachnida, Ixodida, Ixodidae. The record is from RefSeq and is a predicted model, not a curated record. The transcript is spliced from 2 exons.
CUGGCGGGACGCCCGAACCCGAGUGGCUCGUUGUUUUUCGCCUCGCUUCUCCGUCGUAGGCGGUCGGAUAUGACAUUCAUUGCGAUAGAGACGAUAUAAAAGCCCGGCUAAGCACAAAUGUUUCGUUGUUGAUCGCAGCAACAACCUCCGAUAUUGUUGUAGUCAAUCCUUAAAAUUCUACCGCUCCCCUGAAAAGCCGUGCGAGACUCGAACGGCGCCAAGCCUGGACCACGUCGGUGCUCCGACAAAAUGGGGGUGGUUCAGUUUUGAUUCCGCCAACGUCAGCGGGGAUGUGCAGCGUGCACUUCAUGAACACCUGCAAGGACAACGCUCAGGCUCAUCCUGCAACAAGUUACUAGACGAGAUGCCAGCUGAGAUAAAGACUAAUUGCAGGGAACCUACCAACCCUGUAAUUGCUCGUGAAUGAUUCUUAGUUAAUUUAAAUUAAUUUUCACCCCCUCGCUCGAAGAUACAGGUGACCUUUCCUCAUCUAUUUUGCAUUCUCUAUAUGUGCCCGGUUCUUAGCCUGUUAAAAGUAUCGUUAGUUGAUUGGCAACUUCUGUCUUUGAGUUACAUGUUUUGGUUUAGUCUGUACCCCAAGAUUCAGUAUAGCUUGGCUAAAGAUGGAUAAGCUAAGGUGACGACUGCUUUCUCACGAACUGGGAGACAUCUUUCGUGAGAUCUGGAAUAUGAACAGCUGAUCUGCCGUGCAAGAUCCCUGAAGUAGUCGGGGUUCUCGGCCCUACAAUUUCUUGGACAGUCCUUGCUUCUCGAGAUGUGUACAUCAUCUACAAGUAUCCUGCCGGCCAUACUUCGAGUCUGCUCCAAUGUCACCGUGUUAAGAGUAUGAGAAGAAUUUUUAUAUUGUCACAAGGUUGUGUGUUUACCUACUCGUGGUUGUGAUAAAACUCAAUAAACAUCUUUUUCACUGUCAACAAAACAUUUCUGAAAGCGUUGCAUUAUGUUGCUGUACCAUAUUUUCCAGACUAUAGUCUGCAGGGGCAAAUUUGGGGUAAAAAGAGUUUGCUUAGAUUGUGCACAUACGGUGCAUCGUCCGCACGUGGUGCUUAGUCGUCACGAAUAUCCUCUCAUAGACACAAAGAAGCUGGUAUUAUACGUAAAUUAUCAUUUACGUACUCUUUCAUUCACCAAAUCGGUCGUCUCGUCAUAAUCAACGAUAUUGAAAAACAAAAAUUUUGCAUAGUCCGCACAGCCUAAGAUUCCAACUUUUAAAAGUAUAGCCCGGAAAUUACGGUACAUUCCUGGAAACGCUCGAAAACAUGCCACGAAAAACUUUAUUCAGUGAAGCAGCAAUUAAACACUGGCAUGCAUGGAUUAUGUUUCUAGAAAAUAAAAGUUGUUCUACUGAUGACAA